CCGUGGCUCAAUUGGAUAGAGCAUCUGACUUCGGAUCAGAGGGUUGGGGGUUCGAAUCCUCCCGG
Molecule: transfer RNA, 65 nt
Filed under: marine eukaryotic metagenome
Rfam family: tRNA
About the family: Transfer RNA (tRNA) molecules are approximately 80 nucleotides in length.
Source: RNAcentral